This 944-nucleotide ribosomal RNA is filed under the name uncultured bacterium. RNAcentral's name for it is "bacterial SSU rRNA". It matches the Rfam family "Bacterial small subunit ribosomal RNA", at positions 1 to 947 of the family's 1533-position model. The record is from RNAcentral.
CCGAAUUCGUCCAUUAAGAGUUUGAUCCUGGCUCAGAAUCAACGCUGGCGGCCCGCCUAACACAUGCAAGUCGAACGAGAAAGUGGAGCAAUCCAUGAGUAAAGUGGCGUACGGGUGAGUAACACGUGGAUGAUCUACCUUUUAGUGGGGAAUAACCGAGGGAAACCUUGGCUAAUACCGCAUAAUCCCGAGAGGGGAAACGCGAAAGCGGCUGAAAGAGGAGUCCGCGGCCGAUUAUCUAGUUGGCAGGGUAAAAGCCUACCAAGGCAAAGAUCGGAUCGCGGGCCGACACGGAAAGCGGACACGCCGGCACUGAAAACUGAGACACAAUCCUACACUCCGACGGGAGGGGGAAUCGUGGGAAUCUUGCGAAAUGCUGAGAAACCCUGACGCAGCGACGCCGCGUGAGCUAUGAAUGCCUUCGGUUUGUAAAGCUCUUAUCACAGGGAAGAUUAUGACGGUACCUGCAGAAGCAGCUGCGGCUAACUACGUGCCAGCAACCGCGGUAAUACGUAUCGCAGCAAGCGUUGUUCGGAGUUACUGGGCGUAGAGGGUGUGUAGGCGGUGACUUAACUUUGGUGUGAAAUCUCCGCGGCUCAACCGGAAGGAUGCGCCGAAUACUGAGUGACUUGGGGUGCGUGAGAGGAGAGUGAAAUUCCUGGUGUAGCGAUGAAAUGCGUAGAUGUCAAGAGGAACACCGGUGGUGUAGACGGCUCUCUGGACCGUAACUGACGCUGAGACACGAAAGCGUGCGUAGCAAACAGGAUUAGAUACCCUGGUAGUCCACGCCGUAAACGAUGCAUAUUUGGUGUGGGCCGUUCAUUCUGUCCGUGCCGGGAGCUAAACGGGUUAAAUAAGGCGCCUGGGGAAGAACAAUCGCAAGGCUGAAAACUCAAAGGGAAUUGACGGGGGGGCCCAAUCAAACCGGGGGAACCAAGGGGGUU